CUCUGUUUUGGUCUCUGUCUUUAAGUUAUCCCACGGUGAUCUUGUCUAAUGUCAGAAGACAAGCAGAGUUCGUCUUGGUUAAUAAUUGGAUGGGAGACCACGAGGAAAGGCAGACAGAGCAGGGG
RNAcentral lists this ribosomal RNA (125 nucleotides) under Salvator merianae (Argentine black and white tegu). Lineage: Eukaryota; Metazoa; Chordata; Lepidosauria; Squamata; Teiidae. The record is from RNAcentral.